GGAUGCGAUCAUAUCAACACUAAAGCACCAGAUCCCAUCAAAACUCCGAAGUUAAGCGUGCUUGGGCGAGAGUAGUACUAGGAUGGGUGACCUCCUGAGAAGUCCUCGUGUUGCAUUCC
RNAcentral lists this ribosomal RNA (119 nucleotides) under Triticum aestivum (bread wheat). The record is from RNAcentral. Lineage: Eukaryota; Viridiplantae; Streptophyta; Magnoliopsida; Poales; Poaceae.